CAAUGCCCUUGGAAAUCCC
This 19-nucleotide microRNA is filed under the name Tribolium castaneum (red flour beetle). RNAcentral describes it as "tca-miR-2788-3p". The record is from miRBase by way of RNAcentral. Lineage: Eukaryota; Metazoa; Arthropoda; Insecta; Coleoptera; Tenebrionidae.